GCAACCCCAGGUCAGGCGGGGCCACCCGCUGAGUU
This 35-nucleotide ribosomal RNA is filed under the name Platanus occidentalis var. occidentalis. RNAcentral describes it as "partial 25S ribosomal RNA". Lineage: Eukaryota; Viridiplantae; Streptophyta; Magnoliopsida; Proteales; Platanaceae. RNAcentral also lists the same sequence under 1 other name. The record is from RNAcentral.